Non-coding RNA from Pelobates cultripes (western spadefoot toad), 671 nucleotides. The record is from the annotation of a GenBank genome assembly. NCBI's taxonomy places the organism in Eukaryota, Metazoa, Chordata, Amphibia, Anura, Pelobatidae.
UCUGUCUUUUCCUCUUCAACUUCUUUCCCAGGCUAGUAUUAACACCCCUGCCUGCACUGUAACCAGCUACUGUUUUUACAAAGGCACUUGUGGCUCUCAGGCCUGAAUCUCUGUUUAACUCGUCCCAGAAAUCAGGGACCAAACCAGACAGCCAACAGGUCUUAAGAUACUGUUACUGGAUUCCUUGAUUAAAUCAACCAGGACACACAAUUCCCAAUGGAACUAACACACUGUACUUUAUUUUUAACAAAGACUAGCCUUUACCAACUUGUCCCUAAGCAUGUGGUGAAAACCAUAAAAAUAUAAACAAACAUACAUAACAUGAAAACAAACAUCAUAAUACCGUGUCAAAUAUAAAAUACAAUCACAACCUUCAAAACUGAAUACACAGACAUUCAGAUGUAACUGGCCAGUAUUUUCACUUUUCUAAUUUGCAUAUUGUAAGUAUAAAAAUUGAUGGACUGUGAUUUCCUUUAUGCUCUUUGAUUCUUAAUAUGUUAGUGAAUUAACCCCUAGAAUAUGUUUCAAAGUUUUAGCAUAGCAAUCUUUUUGGUUAUUUACAAGUUUGGCCUUCUUUCCUGUAUCCUACACCCAUACUGCUGUUUGCAUAGUAGCCUAAAGUCCGAACUCCUCAUUUACCUUUUACUACCCUCUCUAUACAUUAACACUAG